Molecule: ribosomal RNA, 118 nt
Organism: Mustela putorius furo (domestic ferret)
Lineage: Eukaryota; Metazoa; Chordata; Mammalia; Carnivora; Mustelidae
Source: Ensembl
GUCUACGGCCAUACCACCCUGAACGCGCCCAAUCUCGUCUGAUCUCGGAAGCUAAGCAGGGUCGGGCCUGGUUAGUACUUGGAUGGGAAAAGUCAAUUUAUAAGAUAUACUCUAAGCC